Gadus morhua (Atlantic cod) is the source of this 360-nucleotide long non-coding RNA. RefSeq lists it as uncharacterized. NCBI's taxonomy places the organism in Eukaryota, Metazoa, Chordata, Actinopteri, Gadiformes, Gadidae. The record is from RefSeq and is a predicted model, not a curated record. The transcript has 2 exons.
GCUGUCCCAAUUCCAAGGGUCCUUCAAAUGCGGCCUACGAAUGCAGCCUUCUUUUCCUGGAUUUGAAGGAUGCAUCGGCUGUAUCCUUCACGGCCCAACGUAUCCCAAGAUCCUUCACGGCCCAACGCAUCCCUCCCAAGAUUCAUUGCGCAUUCAAUCAAUGGAGAUGGCGGAGAAUGGCGGUUUAAGUUCUGCAUUUAAAUGAUUGCAAGUAUCCAGGGUCAGGAGAGGGGGUAGGUGGGAAACCCACUGCUGCCACUUGGCCCUGGUUUGUCCCCUUGGAUAAGGUAUUGUGACAUAUGCAUUCCACCAACCCCCCUGUCCUAAUUGCCUCCAUCCCUGAGAACACACCAGGGCCAA